UGGUUUUGUCAUAAGGCUCGUGCUAUUUUGUGAAUUCUCGCCGGAUCAUCAGUGAAUAUCACUAUCUUCAGCUUCUGUUUACUGCAGCUUCUGAAUAUUGUAAAUUUUACAGGCUUAAAAGGAUGAUGCCAGAGGCUCUCAGCGUCUGGACUUGGUUAAAAUUUGUGGUGCAGAGAAAAGAGGAAGGAGGUGGAGUGGAAAUGAAGAUCUCCAUCUGAGCAGUGCCCUUCAUCUCCUGUGCCACCAUGAGGAACAGUCUCUUCAGACAACUAGCCUCAACAAGUAUGCCAAGGAUAGGCCAGGACUUUGCUUCCGCGCGGGACGAGAGGCGCGGGUGAUGGACGGAGCCGAUGAUGUGCCUGGAAGUUUUGGGCCGAGCCAAAAGCAGAAGGCAGCUGUUGACAGCUCAGUGAGGAGCUGCUGGUUUAUGAGUCUGGGGAUUUGAA
RNAcentral lists this long non-coding RNA (446 nucleotides) under Junco hyemalis (dark-eyed junco). RNAcentral describes it as "lncRNA (ENSJHYG00000018047.1)". The record is from RNAcentral. Lineage: Eukaryota; Metazoa; Chordata; Aves; Passeriformes; Passerellidae.